GACGAACGUUGGCGGCGUGCUUAAUACAUGCAAGUCGACUGAAGCAGUGGUACCAAUGUCGCUGUGGCGGUGGCGCACGGGUGAGUAACACGUAGGUAAUCUGCCUUCAGGUCUGGCAUAACUCCGGGAAACCGGGGCUAAUAGCAGAUGAUGCAGCGCCUCGACAUCGAGACGGUUGUUAAAGCUAUGGCGCCUGAAGAUGAGCCUGCGUCUGAUUAGCUGGUUGGCGGGGUAACGGCCCACCAAGGCAACGAUCAGGAGCUGGUCUGAGAGGAUGAUCAGCAACACUGGAACUGAGACACGGUCCAGACUCCUACGGGAGGCAGCAGUAAGGAAAAUUGCGCAAUGGGAGAAAUCAUGAAGCAGCAACGCCGCGUGAGGGACGAAGGGCUUUUGCUUGUAAACCUCUGUAGAGAGAGAAAAAAAUCCCAAUCUUUGGGACAUGAUGGUAUCUCAAAAGUAAGCCCCGGCUAACUACGUG
RNAcentral lists this ribosomal RNA (481 nucleotides) under uncultured bacterium. RNAcentral's name for it is "partial 16S ribosomal RNA". It matches the Rfam family "Bacterial small subunit ribosomal RNA", at positions 28 to 507 of the family's 1533-position model. The record is from RNAcentral.